UGAGGGGGGGGGGGGUCCCUUCAGCCCGGAUUGCAAGAGGGCGCAGGCCAGGCUGAGGUUCCCCACUGGUGCAUG
RNAcentral lists this microRNA precursor (75 nucleotides) under Myotis lucifugus (little brown bat). RNAcentral's name for it is "mir-9193 microRNA precursor family". It matches the Rfam family "mir-9193 microRNA precursor family". The record is from Rfam by way of RNAcentral. Lineage: Eukaryota; Metazoa; Chordata; Mammalia; Chiroptera; Vespertilionidae.